RNAcentral lists this ribosomal RNA (99 nucleotides) under uncultured bacterium. RNAcentral's name for it is "partial 16S ribosomal RNA". It matches the Rfam family "Bacterial small subunit ribosomal RNA", at positions 395 to 508 of the family's 1533-position model. The record is from RNAcentral.
CGCCGCGUGCGGGAUGAAGGCAUUCGUGUCGUAAACCGCUUUUACCAGGGAAGAAGAAUGUGACGGUACCUGGUGAAUAAGCCCCGGCUAACUACGUGC